GGGUGAGUAACACGUGGGGUAACCUACCCUUCGGCGGGGGAUAACCAAGCGAAAGGCUUGGCUAAUACCGCAUACGUCUCUCAGGCCGCGAGGCCUGAGGGGGAAAGCGGCGCAAGUCGCACCGGAGGAUGGGCCCGCGGCCUAUUAGCUUGUUGGUGGGAUAAUGGCCUACCAAGGCUGCGAUAGGUAGCUGGUCUGGGAGGAUGAUCAGCCACACUGGGACUGAGACACGGCCCAG
Molecule: ribosomal RNA, 238 nt
Filed under: uncultured bacterium
Lineage: Bacteria
Description: partial 16S ribosomal RNA
Rfam family: Bacterial small subunit ribosomal RNA
Source: RNAcentral